CACACAAACACAUAUGUGGCGGAGACAUAAAAGCACGGCCACUUAUGUGUGCAGACACACAUUAUCUUUGAAAGAAAAAUUUAAUAGCCAGUAUAAUAGUGAGGGUAGAUCAUUGCACUUUUGCAGUGCAACGAAAUUUAAACUUACCAUAUUAUCCAUGCUGAGUAAUGAAAUGUUCAAAGUUCAAAGAAAGUCAGCCUUCCGUCAAUAGAUUGAUUGGUUAUACUCUAGCAACAUCUGAUUCAUGCAGUAGAUAUUAGCAUGUAAAAAACCGCCAGUCAAAGCCUCUCAGCAAGAUGUCUGUCUGUUACAAAAAUAAAGGAAGUCAGCAAAGGAAAAUGACAACAGCCACCAAUAAUGUCUUAUUUACCUUUUUAUUUUAUCUAUUGAAACAAAUGUAAAAUUAUUAGCCCCCACUUGGCAUACAUCAAUUACUACUUGGAAAUACACUUGUUGAUUCUUUCUUUGGGUUGGAUUAGCAGAAGAGGGAGAAAUCUUAUUAGUCUUCCAAAUAAAAAAGAACAUGUCAUAAUAUCCAGCCAAAAUUUGGCCUCUUUUGGCUUAAAAGCCAAAAUUUCGCUACUUUUGGAGAAAAAGCAAAAGAAGCGAGGUCAAAACAAUCUAUCAACAAAAUUUGUCUGCUAAUAUAAUCAGCGGGUACCUGGUUAUAUUUGCCCAACCAGAAUUUCCAUUUUUUUUCAUUUAUCGGAAUAUGAAAUUCGUGCGAAUAAUACCAGAACCGCUCCAACUGGGCUUUAAUCAUCAACCAUCAGUAUCCCAAAAAAUUUCUUUCUUUCUUUUUUUUACAGUAUGUUUUCCCAAAAAAAAAAUAAUAAUAAAUAAUUAAA
RNAcentral lists this long non-coding RNA (848 nucleotides) under Olea europaea (common olive). RNAcentral describes it as "long non-coding RNA (OEUR_LNC012978)". The record is from RNAcentral. Lineage: Eukaryota; Viridiplantae; Streptophyta; Magnoliopsida; Lamiales; Oleaceae.